GACGAACGCUGGCGGCGUGCCUAAUACAUGCAAGUAGAACGCACAGUUUAUACCGUAGCUUGCUACACCAUAGACUGUGAGUUGCGAACGGGUGAGUAACGCGUAGGUAACCUGCCUGGUAGCGGGGGAUAACUAUUGGAAACGAUAGCUAAUACCGCAUAAUAUUAAUUAUUGCAUGAUAAUUAAUUGAAAGGUGCAAUUGCACCACUACCAGAUGGACCCGCGUUGUAUUAGCUAGUAGGUGAGGUAACGGCUCACCUAGGCGACGAUACAUAGCCGACCUGAGAGGGUGAUCGGCCACACUGGGACUGAGACACGGCCCAGACUCCUACGGGAGGCAGCAGUAGGGAAUCUUCGGCAAUGGACGAAAGUCUGACCGAGCAACGCCGCGUGAGUGAAGAAGGUUGUCGGAUCGUAAAGCUCUGUUGUAAGAGAAGAACGGGUGUGAGAGUGGAAAGUUCACACUGUGACGGUAGCUUACCAGAAAGGGACGGCUAACUACGUG
Molecule: ribosomal RNA, 505 nt
Filed under: uncultured bacterium
Lineage: Bacteria
Description: partial 16S ribosomal RNA
Rfam family: Bacterial small subunit ribosomal RNA
Source: RNAcentral